CGAGCGGCGGACGGGUGAGUANUCUGGGAAACUGCCUGAUGGAGGGGGAUAACUACUGAAACGGUAGCUAAUACCGCAUAACGUCGCAAGACCAAAGAGGGGGGACCUUCGGGCCUCUUGGCAUCAGAUGUGCCCAGAUGGGAUAGCUAUAGUGGGGUAACGGCUCACCUAAGCACGAUCCCUACUGGUCUGAAGGAUGACCACCACACUGAACUGAACACGGUCCAACUCCUACGGGAGGCACAUGGGGAAUAUUGCACAAUGGGCGCAAGCCUGAUGCAGCCAUGCCGCGUGUAUGAAGAAGGCCUUCGGGUUGUAAAGUACUUUCAGCGGGGAGGAAGGUGUUGUGGUUAAUAACCACAGCAAUUGACGUUACCCGCAGAAGAAGCACCGGCUAACUCCCCGGGGGUUUUGGGGCCCCCCAAAGCCAAAGGCCCCGGCGGGGUAAUAAAAACCCCGGAGGGUGCCAAAGCGUUAAUCGGAAUUACUGGGCGUAAAGCGCACGCAGGCGGUCUGUCAAGUCGGAUGUGAAAAAAAAAUUUUUCCCCCCCCGGGGGCUUCCAAAACCCCUGGGGGAAACUUUGGCAUUUUCGAAAAACU
This 600-nucleotide ribosomal RNA is filed under the name uncultured bacterium. RNAcentral describes it as "partial 16S ribosomal RNA". It matches the Rfam family "Bacterial small subunit ribosomal RNA", at positions 92 to 679 of the family's 1533-position model. The record is from RNAcentral.